This 858-nucleotide long non-coding RNA is filed under the name Brachypodium distachyon (stiff brome). RNAcentral describes it as "long non-coding RNA (BDIS_LNC002433)". Lineage: Eukaryota; Viridiplantae; Streptophyta; Magnoliopsida; Poales; Poaceae. The record is from RNAcentral.
GGAAGGUCGGAACAACGGGAACGGAGAUUGCGGCGGCGGGGUGUCCGGCGCGGAUUCGGCGACCGGCUUUCCUAACGGGGAAGAAGACCCUGACGCGUGGGUCCCACGCGUGCAGCGGGCGGACCGGGCUGGCUGGGCCGGCUCGCUCGGUUCGGCGCGGUCGGUUCUGGGCCGGUUCGGCCCAAGCGUUUGGACCGGUCCGGUUUUCCCUUUUUUUUUCUUUUCUUUUUCCCUUUUUCUUAUUUCUUUGUUAACUUUUGAUUUUGAACUCCAAAUUGGUCCAAAUAAAUUCCAGAAAAUUUGUAAAAUCAUGUUCUAUCAUGAUUCAACUUUUGGGAAUAAUUUACCCUCAAAAUAAAAUAUAUAAAAAUACAUUUGCCCUAUAAAUGCCGUUAGGGCUAUAUAACUAUUUAAAUAAAAUAGUUUUUCCACUCCAAAAAUUAUCCAAAAAUUAUGGGAUAGCUUAUAUAUAUGCAAUAAACCCCUUUUAUAAAUAAACCCUAUUGGUUUGAAGAUCCAAAGCUCAAAUGUGUGUAAACCCUAGGGUUUAAAUUGAAAUAAAAACUUUUAAAAGCCUUUUGAGACUCAAAUUUGAAUUCAAAUAUGCAAUUCGGGCAUGAUGCUCAUGGAUGCAAUGCAUAUGAAAGAAUUUGAAAUUUUGGGAUGUUACAUCGACGGGCGGGCGGCGUGAUGUGUAACAGCGUUGGUUGCGGGCUCCGGAGGACGAGCCCGCCUCGUGGUCAUGGCGCCUCGCCGGCGGCCAUUGCCUCUUGGGCGCCAUCGCUUGGGGGGCGAGCUCGGCGGUGGUCGGCGGUGGCUAAGGUUUUGGGAGGAGGUGAGUGGGUGUGUGUGGGGAUG